AAUAAAAAUUAUUUUUAAAUUAACAUUAUUUAUAUUAAAUAAUAAAAAUUAUAUAUUCUAAAUUUAUAGAUUAUCCCAUAAAUUUUUUAUAUAAAAAUAUAAAAAUUUUUAAAUAAAUGUUUUUAAUUUUUUUAUAUACAAAUUAAAUUUAUUUAAAAAAAAUAGAUAUAAAAUAAUUCGAUUAACAUCUAAUUUCUAAAUAUAUAUUAUAACUCUUUAUUCUACAAAAGCAUAAUUAAAUAUUUUGUUCUUCUUUUUUCGAGAUUAUUAAAUUUAUAAAUUAUAUUAAUUAACCCUGAUACAAAAGGAACAAAAAUUAUUCUACUUACUUAAUUUUUAAAAAAUUCAUUUACAGUACUUUAUCUAUUAAUCUAAAUAUUAUUUCAUAAUCUAUUACUUAAACAAAAAAUUCUUAUAUAAUUUUAAAUAAUUAUAAUAUUAAUUAAAUCUCAAAUAUUAAA
Molecule: unclassified non-coding RNA, 461 nt
Filed under: Bombus terrestris (buff-tailed bumblebee)
Lineage: Eukaryota; Metazoa; Arthropoda; Insecta; Hymenoptera; Apidae
Description: misc RNA ENSBTSG00005035817.1
Source: RNAcentral